CAUCUACUCCCUCCAUUCCAAAUUACUCGUCGCAGAAAUGGAUGUAUCUAGAACUAAAAUACAUCUAGAUACAUCCAUUUCUGCGACAAGUAAUUCGGAACGGAGGGAGUACACA
Non-coding RNA from Triticum aestivum (bread wheat), 115 nucleotides. NCBI's taxonomy places the organism in Eukaryota, Viridiplantae, Streptophyta, Magnoliopsida, Poales, Poaceae. The record is from Rfam.